This 460-nucleotide ribosomal RNA is filed under the name uncultured bacterium. RNAcentral describes it as "partial 16S ribosomal RNA". It matches the Rfam family "Bacterial small subunit ribosomal RNA", at positions 338 to 795 of the family's 1533-position model. The record is from RNAcentral.
CCUACGGGGAGCAGCAGUGAGGAAUAUUGGUCAAUGGGCGGAAGACUGAACCAGCCAAGUCGCGUGCAGGAUGACGGUCCUACGGGUUGUAAACUGCUUUUGUCCGGGAAUAACGCCCCUUACGUGUAGGGCGUUGCGUGUACCGUAUGAAUAAGCAUCGGCUAACUCCGUGCCAGCAGCCGCGGUAAUACGGAAGGUCCGGGCGUUAUCCGGAUUUAUUGGGUUUAAAGGGAGCGUAGGCCGCGUGUUAAGCGUGCUGUGAAAAGUCCGGGCUCAACCCCGGCCGUGCAGCGGAAACUGGCGGGAUUGAGUGGGCGGAAGGCAGGCGGAAUGCGUCGUGUAGCGGUGAAAUGCAUAGAUAUGGCGAAGAACCCCGAUUGCGAAGGCAGCAUGCUGCAGCGGAACUGACGCUGAGGCACGAAAGCGCGGGUAUCGAACAGGAUUAGAUACCCGUGUAGUC